This 967-nucleotide long non-coding RNA is filed under the name Equus caballus (horse). RNAcentral describes it as "lncRNA (ENSECAG00000037641.3)". The record is from RNAcentral. Lineage: Eukaryota; Metazoa; Chordata; Mammalia; Perissodactyla; Equidae.
CUUGGACUCAUUGGGCAGAGUAAAUAUCACGCCGGAAUCGUAAUAAUAACAGCAAUUCUGCCUCAGGUUAUCGAGAGAGAGUCUUCUACCUGAAGAUGAAAGCUGGGAUGUCGUCUUCUUGAAUUUUAAGUCAUACCUCAGGCCUCAUAAAUGGGCUCUUCUCUUGGGUUUUAUCCUAUGACCCUAUUUUGUUCACCCACCUAGGACCUGGAUUUGGAGCUCUUACAUAAGCCAGAAGACAGUAAGCUAACAGCCCUGGUGAGCUCCUUCCCACCUGCUGACCUACCUCACUGCUCUAAGAUUGUUGCUGGUAACUUCUGAGGAUUGUGCCUAGUUAUUACCAUAUUCUUUGGGAACUGGACUUUGCCUGCCGAUGGGAACUUUUUCUUGACUUCUGUAGUCUGGCCAAUUUCCCCAGCACAUGUCUCACCUAGUGGGUGGGUUUAACCUCAGGACUACUGUCUAUGCCAGUAACAUUGUCUUCUUCUGGAAGAAAUUGGACAAUGCAUGACUGAGUCCCAGGAUAUGAAAGCACAGGCCCUUGGCAAGAUAGUAAGAGAGUGGAUUAAUUUCUAACAAUAAGAAUAUAACAGAACGAUAAUCAUCAUUUAUGGAAGAAUUCUUAGGUAUUCUGAUCGCUCAGUGUCCUCAGGAACAAGAAAGAAGAAGACAGCGCCAUGUGUGGCAUGAGACAAAAUGAAGCUGAAGUCCUAAGUCUUUCUCUUAUCGUCUGUGAAAGUUAAGUGUGCAGUGUUAACAAUGACGGGAAGCACAACAGUGAAAGUAAUAAACCAGUUUGCUGCCUUCUCCCCUGCGUCACAGAUGGACAAACUCCCUUAGGACACUCGUGUGAUGGGAUCCUGCAAUGGAGGAUUGGGAAGAGCACCUUCACCAAAGCCUACCUCACUUCAGUGCCCUUCCAAUCCGCUCCCGGCCACCAUCCCACGAUGCUUCGAGUAUCCAGAAA